Molecule: long non-coding RNA, 328 nt
Organism: Lepus europaeus (European hare)
Lineage: Eukaryota; Metazoa; Chordata; Mammalia; Lagomorpha; Leporidae
Exons: 2
Source: RefSeq, a predicted model, not a curated record
CCUGCCCUUCCCGAGGGCAGCAGCCGCGGCCGGGAGAUAAGCGCUGGCGCGGCGCGGGGCUCUGCCUGGGCUGGUGGCACCGACUUGGGGAACUGAAGAAAAUGUUUUCUCAGCACUGCAAGAACACUCGGAGCAGCGGAGGUGGCCGAAGUGCCUUGCCACCGUUCCAGGGAGUGUCCCGAACCCGGCGGAGAGGGCCUGGGCGCCCCAGGCUGCCCGUGCGUGCGGCGGGAGAGGAAGGUGAGGGGCACCGCCGGCAAGAAGAGGCACCGAAACCCCAGAUGAGGAGCAAAACUGUUGAGGAGACAGCCUCGCCUGCCUGUGGGGG